AUAUACAAAUACGACUAAUCCUUUGUUGUUACAUAUACAUAUACACAUAUCUACCUAUCUAUCUAUUAUUUAGGUUUUUUGUAAUUAAUGCAAAAAGUUUUAAAUUGGCUACAUUACAUUUUGUUAGAAUAUAUAAAUUCAUAAUAUACAUUAGGUGUUUACUAGAAUGGCUUCCUCAAAUUAACCCACACCUGGUCCCAUUUGUUUACGUUUUCACCUACACAAAUAGUUAUGUUCAGUUUUUUCAUAAAUAUAUUCCCAGCAUCUAUGGUAUAGAUUUGAGUGGAGUGUUUUCUUGGCUGUUUUUAGAAAUGCUAGAGAAUGUUUUAUCGUAAAAAUUAUUACUUUUAAAAUAUAUUUUAUUUUAAAAAAAAAAGAAAAAAAAAGUAGCACUUACCAAUUUUCUUAAAUAUUUUUAUAUUUGUUUUACCUACAUGUGUGUAAUAAAAAGCAACUGUAAUUUUUAGUUUGCCA
RNAcentral lists this long non-coding RNA (474 nucleotides) under Piliocolobus tephrosceles (Ugandan red Colobus). Its description in RNAcentral is "lncRNA (ENSPTEG00000007546.1)". The record is from RNAcentral. Lineage: Eukaryota; Metazoa; Chordata; Mammalia; Primates; Cercopithecidae.